Molecule: ribosomal RNA, 225 nt
Filed under: uncultured bacterium
Lineage: Bacteria
Description: partial 16S ribosomal RNA
Rfam family: Bacterial small subunit ribosomal RNA
Source: RNAcentral
AGUAACACGUAUCCAACCUGCCGUCUACUCUUGGACAGCCUUCUGAAAGGAAGAUUAAUACAAGAUGGCAUCAUGAGUCCGCAUGUUCACAUGAUUAAAGGUAUUCCGGUAGACGAUGGGCAUGCGUUGUAUUAGCUAGUUGGUGGGGUAACGGCUCACCAAGGCGACGAUACAUAGGGGGACUGAGAGGUUAACCCCCCACACUGGUACUGAGACACGGACCAG